GAUGAACGCUAGCGGCAGGCCUAACACAUGCAAGUCGAGGGGCAGCGGGGGUUCCAGCAAUGGGACUUGCCGGCGACCGGCGCACGGGUGAGUAACGCGUAUGCGACCUGCCUUCCCCAGGGGCACAACCCGGCGAAAGCCGGGCUAAUACCGCAUGAAGCCGGGGGCCCGCAUGGGUUUCCGGCCAAAGGAGAGAUCCGGGGGGAGAUGGGCAUGCGUCCGAUUAGCUUGACGGCGGGGCAACGGCCCACCGUGGCGACGAUCGGUAGGGGUUCCGAGAGGGAGGUCCCCCACACUGGGACUGAGACACGGCCCAGACUCCUACGGGAGGCAGCAGUGAGGAAUAUUGGUCAAUGGGCGGAAGCCUGAACCAGCCAUGCCGCGUGAAGGAAGAAGGCCUGGAAGGUCGCAGACUUCUUUUAGACGGGGACAACAGGGGGCACGGGUGCCCCCGCGAGGGUACCGUCAGAAUAAGCAUCGGCUAACUCCGUGCCAGCAGCCGCGGUAAUACGGAGGAUGCGAGCGUUAUCCGGAUUUAUUGGGUCUAAAGGGCGCGUAGGCGGCCGCGCAAGCGGGCGGUGAAAACACGGGGCUCAACCCCGUGCUUGCCGUCGGAACUGCGUGGCUUGGGUACGGAGGAGGCGAGCGGAAUGUGUGGUGUAGCGGUGAAAUGCGUAGAUAUCACACAGAACACCGAUUGCGAAGGCAGCUCGCCGUACCGGGACCGACGCUGAGGCGCGAAAGCGUGGGGAUCGAACGGGAUUAGAUACCCCGGUAGUCCACGCCGUAAACGAUGAUCACUGGCCGUUGCGCCGUAUAGGGGGCAGUGGCUGAGCGAAGGCGUUAAGUGAUCCACCUGGGGAGUACGCCGGCAACGGUGAAACUCAAAGGAAUUGACGGGGGCCCGCACAAGCGGAGGAACAUGUGGUUUAAUUCGAUGAUACGCGAGGAACCUUACCCGGGCUUGAAAGUUAGCGAAGCGGGCGGAAACGCCCGUGCCCGCGAGGGCGCGAAACUAGGUGCUGCAUGGUUGUCGUCAGCUCGUGCCGUGAGGUGUCGGCUCAAGUGCCAUAACGAGCGCAACCCCUGCCGCCAGUUGCCACCGGGAAAGCCGGGCACUCUGGCGGGACUGCCGCCGCAAGGUGAGAGGAAGGCGGGGAUGACGUCAAAUCAGCACGGCCCUUACGUCCGGGGCGACACACGUGUUACAAUGGGCCGUACAGAGGGAAGCCAGGCGGCGACGCCGAGCGGAUCCCGAAAGCGGCCCGUAGUUCGGAUUGGAGUCUGCAACCCGACUCCAUGAAGCCGGAUUCGCUAGUAAUCGCGCAUCAGCCAUGGCGCGGUGAAUACGUUCCCGGGCCUUGUACACACCGCCCGUCAAGCCAUGGGAGCCUGUGGCGCCUGAAGUCCGCCGCCGUGAGGGGCGGCCUAGGGCGAAACCGGUGACUGGGGC
This 1453-nucleotide ribosomal RNA is filed under the name uncultured bacterium. RNAcentral's name for it is "16S ribosomal RNA". It matches the Rfam family "Bacterial small subunit ribosomal RNA". The record is from RNAcentral.